Molecule: ribosomal RNA, 757 nt
Filed under: uncultured Actinobacillus sp.
Lineage: Bacteria; Pseudomonadati; Pseudomonadota; Gammaproteobacteria; Pasteurellales; Pasteurellaceae
Description: bacterial SSU rRNA
Rfam family: Bacterial small subunit ribosomal RNA
Source: RNAcentral
UUGAACGCUGGCGGCCAGGCUCACACCUCCAAGUCCAACGGUAACAGGAAGAAGCUCGCUUUCUUUGCGACGAGUGGCGGACGGGUGAGUAAAGCUUGGGAAUCUGGCUAUGGAGGGGGAUAACUACGGGAAACUGUAGCUAAUACCGCGUAAUAUCGAGAGAUUAAAGGGUGGGACCGCAAGGCCACCUGCCAUGAGAUGAGCCCAAGUGGGAUUAGGUAGUUGGUGAGGUAAAGGCUCACCAAGCCGACGAUCUCUAGCUGGUCUGAGAGGAUGACCAGCCACACUGGAAAUGAGACACGAUCCAGACUCCUACGGGAGGCAGCAGUGGGGAAUAUUGCACAAUGGGGGGAACCCUGAUGCAGCCAUGCCGCGUGAAUGAAGAAGGCCUUCGGGUUGUAAAGUUCUUUCGGUAGCGAGGAAGGCAUUUAGUUUAAUAGACUAGAUGAUUGACGUUAACUACAGAAGAAGCACCGGCUAACUCCGUGCCAGCAGCCGCGGUAAUACGGGGGGUGCGAGCGUUAAUCGGAAUAACUGGGCGUAAAGGGCACGCAGGCGGUGACUUAAGUGAGAUGUGAAAGCCCCGGGCUUAACCUGGGAAUUGCAUUUCAUACUGGGUCGCUAGAGUACUUUAGGGAGGGGUAGAAUUCCACGUGUAGCGGUGAAAUGCGUAGAGAUGUGGAGGAAUACCGAAGGCGAAGGCAGCCCCUUGGGAAUGUACUGACGCUCAUGUGCGAAAGCGUGGGGAGCAAACAGG